Molecule: long non-coding RNA, 377 nt
Organism: Mustela erminea (ermine)
Lineage: Eukaryota; Metazoa; Chordata; Mammalia; Carnivora; Mustelidae
Exons: 3
Source: RefSeq, a predicted model, not a curated record
UUUGAAAAGAUAGAUGCACCUACUCCUAUGUUUAUUGCAGCAUUAUUUACAAUUGCCAAGAAAGAGAAGCAACCCAAAUCAGUGGAUGAGUGGAUAAAGAAGAUGUGGUAUACAUCUACAAUGGAAUAUUACCCAGCUAUAAAAAUUGCAGGACUUAACACAGACGAAUGCCUCAUUCUUGAAGAAAGUGGUGGAAACUAUAUACACUUCAUGGUCAGACAGACCAGGCACCAAAUCUCAGCCUCCCGAGAACAACCAAAGUCAGCUCAUCAAGGAAAUUCUGCAUACAUUUGUGUACAAAGUAUCAGCCCGGAGAUGUGGAGUCAAAGAUACAGGGGCGCCUGGGCGGCUCAGUUGGUUAAGCAUCUGCCUUUGGC